Small nuclear RNA from Cavia aperea (Brazilian guinea pig), 105 nucleotides. The record is from Ensembl. Lineage: Eukaryota; Metazoa; Chordata; Mammalia; Rodentia; Caviidae.
AUGCUUGCUCUGGGAGCACAGAUACUAAAACUAGAACGACAUACAGAAGGUCAGCAGAGCCCCUGUGGAGGACGACAUGAAAUACACAAAGUGUUCCAUAUUUUU